Long non-coding RNA from Oncorhynchus nerka (sockeye salmon), 976 nucleotides. RefSeq lists it as uncharacterized. Lineage: Eukaryota; Metazoa; Chordata; Actinopteri; Salmoniformes; Salmonidae. The transcript is spliced from 3 exons. The record is from RefSeq and is a predicted model, not a curated record.
UACAAUCUCAGGAAGUAGUUUUGAAGAUAAGUAAUUUCUACAAAGUAACGUUAUUCGGCCUGAAGUAUUAGAAUAAAACGAUCUACUUGAAGGUGGAGAUGGGGUAAGAUCCCUAGGACACGGCAUGGAUGCCACAUCACCACAGGACCGUAUAUAUUGAAUGUGAAUUGCCCACCACGGCAUGCUGCGACAAGGGCCUGGAUGGUGACACACAUCUGCUUCAAGCUGCCUGACUGAAUACUGGGGCCUUCAGUGGUGCCUUCCCCUUUGAUUACAGCAAGAGUCUCCUUAUCUGUCUCCUAGCCAUUUAAAAUGUAUUUUAUGCAACCAGUCAUUCAUACAAUAGCUGACUUACAUUCAUGUGUCUUUGUCCUAUUCUUCAAGCUGGUCUGGGAUAUAUAUUUUAGUUGGCACACCCGUGUUAUGUCUUAUACAGAGCCUUCAGAAAGUAUUCAGACCCCUUGACAGGUACAGAGCCUUCAGAAAGUAUUCAUACCCCUUGACUGGUACAGAGCCUUCAGAAAGUAUUCAUACCCCUUGACUGGUACAGAGCCUUCAGAAAGUAUUCAGACCCCUUGACUGGUACAGAGCCUUCAGAAAGUAUUCAGACCCCUUGACUGGUACAGAGCCUUCAGAAAGUAUUCAUACCCCUUGACUGGUACAGAGCCUUCAGAAAGUAUUCAUACCCCUUGACUGGUACAGAGCCUUCAGAAAGUAUUCAGACCCAUUGACUGGUACAGAGCCUUCAGAAAGUAUUCAUACCCCUUGACUGGUACAGAGCCUUCAGAAAGUAUUCAUACGCCUUGACUGGUACAGAGCCUUCAGAAAGUAUUCAUACCCCUUGACUGGUACAGAGCCUUCAGAAAGUAUUCAGACCCCUUGACUGGUACAGAGCCUUCAGAAAGUAUUCAUACCCCUUGACUGGUACAGAGCCUUCAGAAAGUAUUCAUACCCCUUGACUGGUACAGAGCCUUCA